GAAUACACUCAGUCCUAACCCCGACAGAAUGUUCAGAUAGAAGUCGUUUCGCCUCAGCGCUCAGACCCUACGGCAAGUGCAAAUGGUCGGGUUUUAUGGCCAGGCUACUCGGCGACGCCUUUUGUACGGGUAGUAAUUGAAGACGACUGGCCGCUAGGAUUCCGCACGGCGUGUACUUCUACCUUCCCUCGCACGGGCGAUACCACUCACUUCCUUCAAAAUAAAAUGACAAAAUCUUUAAUUAGCUAUGACAUUAUAGAUUUCAAAAUGACCUUGGAGGGAGAAAAAAUUCUUAAAUGUUUCAGAUGUAAUGUUUUAUAAUUUUGAAAUGACUUUUUUCUCGUUUUUUUUUUCAGAUAAAAAAUAUGGAAUCCAAAGAAUCUGGGAAGCGGGCCCAAACCGUAAGUCCCUCAUGGUUAAAUAUUUACAUGUAUAAUGUCUUUCUUUUUUUUAAAAAAAAAAAGCUUGGCUUCUGGUAUGCUUAAAGUAAAAGCCAAGUGCAGCAAUUUUUCUUUAGGAUCAGUUUAAGUUAAUUUAAUAUACACCCCCAAAAUAUGCAUGCCUAAGACUUUUUUAAAUUAUUUGCAGUCACCAACAGAGGCGCAGCAAAAGAAAAGGAGUAAAUCAGAUGUAAGUCCCUUUAUUUGGUUAAUCUUAUUUUCUAUUACAAUAUCUUAGUUACGCCCCCUUGACUCACUCUCAAAUCAUUGUGUUAUAUAGGUAUUCUUAUACUAAUAGGUUGAAAUAUGCAUAUUUAUAAUGUCUUUUUUUAAAAAAAAUAGAAGCUUGGCUUCUGGUCAGUAUAAAGCAACAAUCUUUCUUUAGGAUCAGGUUAAGUUAAUUUAAUGUUCCCCCACACACACAUGCAUGCCUAGACACAUUAAUUAAGACUUUUUUAAAUUAUUUGCAGUCUCAGACGAUAAUACCCGUGCCUGGAACAAGUUGUAAGUACAAUACAGAACUUUUAUAUAACUAAAGUAAAUAUAUUAUUUAUUAAUUAAUUUAAUUCAAAAUGAACUUGGAGGGAAAAAAGAUUCUUAAAUGUUUCAGAUGUAAUGUUUUAUAAUUUUGAAAUGACUUUUUUCUGUUUGUUUUUUUUUUUCAAAACAGCAGCAGACAAGAAAAAACCCCCAUCACAAGUAAGUCCCUCUGAUUUUAUUUAAAACAUGACUGCCAUGUUUACUUUGAGUGCUUGGGUGUAGCGUUUAAAGUAAGUACAAGCCUAGUGGAACAAUUUUUCUUUAGGUUUAGGUUAAGUUAAUUUAAUGUAACCCCCCCCCAAAAAAAAAAAUAUGCAUGCCUAGACACAUUAAUUAAAACUUUUUUUAAUUAUUUGCAGCAUGACAACACAGAAGCAAGUUCCAGCUACAAUUUCAGUGAUGAUACAAACAGUACGUACAAUACAGAACAUUUUUUUAACUUUUUAAAGGAAAUUUUCAGAAUGCCUGUAUUGAUGACAUAAAUUAUUAAGUCUUUUUGCAUAUUUUUUUUUUUCAGCCAUGAGACUUUCAAGAGACAUUAGAACGUCUAACACCAGAUGGCUGGCAGCUGAAGCCUUAAGUUACAACUUUAUGUUCUCAACAGGAAGGCUACAGGAAGACGACUUUAAUAUUUUAUACCAUGAAUUAAACAAUCACAUUAAGCAAUAUGUGGAGUCGAAGGAGCCUCACAAUCAAUAAAUUGAACAGCAGCCUGGGGAUAUUAUAUCUGCCACUGCUUACAAAUAGUUUGGAAGUAACAGGCAAGAAUGGAGGAACAAGUCCAAGGACAAAGCCAUCUGAUGAUGGGUCAUGCUGUUGAGGAGCACAGAGAAAUGUUUCGAAGCUUGCUCCACAUAUGAAUUAAGUUACGAAAUGUAGGUGAACAAGGAAUGACUCCAGCAGCAAUCCCAUGUUUCAGCAUGACAACACAGAAGCAAGUUCCAGCUACAAUUUCAGUGAUGAUACAAACAGUACGUACAAUACAGAACAUUUUUUUAACUUUUUAAAGGAAAUUUUCAGAAUGCCUGUAUUGAUGACAUAAAUUAUUAAGUCUUUUUGCAUAUUUUUUUUUUUCAGCCAUGAGACUUUCAAGAGACAUUAGAACGUCUAACACCAGAUGGCUGGCAGCUGAAGCCUUAAGUUACAACUUUAUGUUCUCAACAGGAAGGCUACAGGAAGACGACUUUAAUAUUUUAUACCAUGAAUUAAACAAUCACAUUAAGCAAUAUGUGGAGUCGAAGGAGCCUCACAAUCAAUAAAUUGAAGUAAGUAAUAAAUAAAAUAAAGAAAUUUUUUCACGAUAAAGGUGAAAACAAAGUCAUCAUGCACAGCAUAUCCUUGUGUUCUUUUGUCACUGAUUCAGUGUUUUUAUUGCCAAAACUGACACCACAAAGAGAGUGAUAGCAUAUCUAACCAUACACUGAAAACCACUGACAUUUCAUCAAUACAUGAAAGAUGUUGCUACUCAUAACGAGAUAAUUGUUACUACAGAGCAGGCUCUUUUAGUCAAAAUGCUUCUUUGAUAGAAAUAGUGGGCAGGCAGGUAGAAAUUGUGGUGCUAGUUAUGUAGGGCAAAGGUUGGGAUACUGAGAGCAUACUUGAUUGUUUUUGUUUUGUUUUUGCAAGUCAAUAUGUUUUCCUGUUUGGGUUGCAUAUGACCCUGAAGUAGACUGUAGUUUCAUGUACAAAUGUAUUACAAUGAAACAUUUGUAUUUGACUUUUAACCAUCACAAUUUCCCUUUGUGCACAGCAGCAGCCUGGGGAUAUUAUAUCUGCCACUGCUUACAAAUAGUUUGGAAGUAACAGGCAAGAAUGGAGGAACAAGUCCAAGGACAAAGCCAUCUGAUGGUCAGUGAAAUAAGAAAUCAAAGAAAAUAACCAUGCAUGUGUUUAAUUUAUCAAUGUAAGCAUGGCUUUAUCAUUCAUGAUUUGUUUAUGAAGAAAGUUAACCCUGCCUAUUACCCUGUUCUGGGUAAUCUCUGCAUGUUGUACACCUGUUUACAAGUGCAACUGCUUUGAUGUGAUAUGGUUCUAGUGAUUCUACCUCUUAUUAGUUUUCCUUUCUAAUCCACAAAUAGUAAUCAACACUAGAAGCAAGCCUACAUGAAUCUAUUUACAUAAGUGGUGUUGGCCAUCAACUUCCUGUUGCCUCCUAGCUGCUUUAAAGCUCAUAAAUAGUAAGAAACAGAAAUACGUUUUACUUCAACUGAAUGGCACAUCGGUAAGAAGUGAAUAAAUUGAAAUGCCUUGUUUUUGCUUAUCAUUAAAGGACUAAUAUUUUGAUUGCAGAUGGGUCAUGCUGUUGAGGAGCACAGAGAAAUGUUUCGAAGCUUGCUCCACAUAUGAAUUAAGUUACGAAAUGUAGGUGAACAAGGAAUGACUCCAGCAGCAAUCCCAUGUUUCAGGUGAGAAAUUUGAUAGGCUGGAAGAGGAAUCUGUGUGUAGAGAAUUUAGGGGGGAAAGUGGCUGUUGUGAAAUCUAAUUAAAGCUUUUUUCGCAACAACUAGCCUGAAGACUUUGAAGACUCAAAUUCUUUGUUGUAAAUAAAUGUUAAAACCAUGUUUAGUUUUGGCUUGUAUAUAAUAAAUUUCUUCUCUCCUUUUUGUGUUGUAUGUAGUACAUUGUUGUGAAGAUUGUGAAGAUUGUAAGGAUUUUUUUUUUUU
This 3643-nucleotide long non-coding RNA is filed under the name Pomacea canaliculata. Its description in RNAcentral is "uncharacterized LOC112558649, transcript variant X5". The record is from RNAcentral. Lineage: Eukaryota; Metazoa; Mollusca; Gastropoda; Architaenioglossa; Ampullariidae.